GUGUCAGCCGCCGCGGUAAUACGAAGGGGGCUAGCGUUGUUCGGAAUUACUGGGCGUAAAGCGCGCGCAGGCGGCCUUACAAGUCAGAGGUGAAAGCCCGGAGCUUAACUCCGGAAUUGCCCCUGAGACUGUUUGGCUUCGAGUACGGGAGAGGUGAGUGGAAUUCCGAGUGUAGAGGUGAAAUUCGUAGAUAUUCGGAAGAACACCGGUGGCGAAGGCGGCUCACUGGCCCGUUACUGACGCUCAGGCGCGACAGCGUGGGGAUCAAACAGGAUUAGAAACCCCCGUAGUCC
This 293-nucleotide ribosomal RNA is filed under the name uncultured bacterium. RNAcentral describes it as "partial 16S ribosomal RNA". It matches the Rfam family "Bacterial small subunit ribosomal RNA", at positions 505 to 796 of the family's 1533-position model. The record is from RNAcentral.